This 1678-nucleotide ribosomal RNA is filed under the name Nakaseomyces nivariensis. RNAcentral's name for it is "SSU rRNA". It matches the Rfam family "Eukaryotic small subunit ribosomal RNA". Lineage: Eukaryota; Fungi; Ascomycota; Saccharomycetes; Saccharomycetales; Saccharomycetaceae. The record is from RNAcentral.
UUCAAAGAUUAAGCCAUGCAUGUCUAAGUAUAAGCAAUUUAUACAGUGAAACUGCGAAUGGCUCAUUAAAUCAGUUAUCGUUUAUUUGAUAGUUCCUUUACUACAUGGUAUAACUGUGGUAAUUCUAGAGCUAAUACAUGCUUAAAAUCUCGACCUCUUGGAAGAGAUGUAUUUAUUAGAUAAAAAAUCAAUGUCUUCGGACUCUUUGAUGAUUCAUAAUAACUUUUCGAAUCGCAUGGCCUUGUGCUGGCGAUGGUUCAUUCAAAUUUCUGCCCUAUCAACUUUCGAUGGUAGGAUAGUGGCCUACCAUGGUUUCAACGGGUAACGGGGAAUAAGGGUUCGAUUCCGGAGAGGGAGCCUGAGAAACGGCUACCACAUCCAAGGAAGGCAGCAGGCGCGCAAAUUACCCAAUCCUGACACAGGGAGGUAGUGACAAUAAAUAACGAUACAGGGCCCAUUCGGGUCUUGUAAUUGGAAUGAGUACAAUGUAAAUACCUUAACGAGGAACAAUUGGAGGGCAAGUCUGGUGCCAGCAGCCGCGGUAAUUCCAGCUCCAAUAGCGUAUAUUAAAGUUGUUGCAGUUAAAAAGCUCGUAGUUGAACUUUGGGUCUGGGUGGCCGGUCCGAUUUUUUCGUGUACUGGAAUGCACCCGGGCCUUUCCUUCUGGCUAACCCCAAGUCCUUGUGGCUUGGUGGCGAACCAGGACUUUUACUUUGAAAAAAUUAGAGUGUUCAAAGCAGGCGUAUUGCUCGAAUAUAUUAGCAUGGAAUAAUGGAAUAGGACGUUUGGUUCUAUUUUGUUGGUUUCUAGGACCAUCGUAAUGAUUAAUAGGGACGGUCGGGGGCAUCAGUAUUCAAUUGUCAGAGGUGAAAUUCUUGGAUUUAUUGAAGACUAACUACUGCGAAAGCAUUUGCCAAGGACGUUUUCAUUAAUCAAGAACGAAAGUUAGGGGAUCGAAGAUGAUCAGAUACCGUCGUAGUCUUAACCAUAAACUAUGCCGACUAGGGAUCGGGUGGUGUUUUUUUAGUGACCCACUCGGCACCUUACGAGAAAUCAAAGUACUUUGGGUUCUGGGGGGAGUAUGGUCGCAAGGCUGAAACUUAAAGGAAUUGACGGAAGGGCACCACCAGGAGUGGAGCCUGCGGCUUAAUUUGACUCAACACGGGGAAACUCACCAGGUCCAGACACAAUAAGGAUUGACAGAUUGAGAGCUCUUUCUUGAUUUUGUGGGUGGUGGUGCAUGGCCGUUCUUAGUUGGUGGAGUGAUUUGUCUGCUUAAUUGCGAUAACGAACGAGACCUUAACCUACUAAAUAGUGGUGCUAGCAUUUGCUGGUUGUCCACUUCUUAGAGGGACUAUCGGUUUCAAGCCGAUGGAAGUUUGAGGCAAUAACAGGUCUGUGAUGCCCUUAGACGUUCUGGGCCGCACGCGCGCUACACUGACGGAGCCAGCGAGUCUAACCUUGGCCGAGAGGUCUUGGUAAUCUUGUGAAACUCCGUCGUGCUGGGGAUAGAGCAUUGUAAUUAUUGCUCUUCAACGAGGAAUUCCUAGUAAGCGCAAGUCAUCAGCCUUGCGUUGAUUACGUCCCUGCCCUUUGUACACACCGCCCGUCGCUAGUACCGAUUGAUGCUAUGAGGCCUCAGAUCUGCUACAAAAGGGGCGACUCACUUACAGCGAAA